GAUGAACGCUGGCGGCGUGCCUAAUACAUGCAAGUCGAGCGAACAGACGAGGAGCUUGCUCCUCUGACGUUAGCGGCGGACGGGUGAGUAACACGUGGAUAACCUACCUAUAAGACUGGGAUAACUUCGGGAAACCGGAGCUAAUACCGGAUCAUAUAUUGAACCGCAUGGUUCAAUAGUGAAAGACGGUUUUGCUGUCACUUAGAGAUGGAUCCGCGUCGCAUUAGCUAGUUGGUAAGGUAACGGCUUACCAAGGCAACGAUGCGUAGCCGACCUGAGAGGGUGAUCAGCCACACUGGAACUGAGACACGGUCCAGACUCCUACGGGAGGCAGCAGUAGGGAAUCUUCCGCAAUGGGCGAAAGCUUGACGGAGCAACGCCGCGUGAGUGAUGAAGGUCUUCGGAUCGUAAAACUCUGUUAUUAGGGAAGAACAAAUGUGUAAGUAACUAUGCACGUCUUGACGGUACCUAAUCAGAAAGCCACGGCUAACUACGUG
This 497-nucleotide ribosomal RNA is filed under the name uncultured bacterium. RNAcentral's name for it is "partial 16S ribosomal RNA". It matches the Rfam family "Bacterial small subunit ribosomal RNA", at positions 28 to 507 of the family's 1533-position model. The record is from RNAcentral.